This 253-nucleotide ribosomal RNA is filed under the name uncultured bacterium. RNAcentral's name for it is "partial 16S ribosomal RNA". It matches the Rfam family "Bacterial small subunit ribosomal RNA", at positions 524 to 776 of the family's 1533-position model. The record is from RNAcentral.
UACGUAGGGUGCGAGCGUUGUCCGGAAUUAUUGGGCGUAAAGAGCUCGUAGGCGGUUUGUCACGUCGGGUGUGAAAGCCCGGGGCUUAACCCCGGGUCUGCAUUCGAUACGGGCUAGCUAGAGUGUGGUAGGGGAGAUCGGAAUUCCUGGUGUAGCGGUGAAAUGCGCAGAUAUCAGGAGGAACACCGGUGGCGAAGGCGGAUCUCUGGGCCAUUACUGACGCUGAGGAGCGAAAGCGUGGGGAGCGAACAGG